This is a transfer RNA of Trichomalopsis sarcophagae, 120 nucleotides long. It matches the Rfam family "tRNA". From Rfam's summary of the family: Transfer RNA (tRNA) molecules are approximately 80 nucleotides in length. Lineage: Eukaryota; Metazoa; Arthropoda; Insecta; Hymenoptera; Pteromalidae. The record is from Rfam.
GUCAGGAUGGCCGAGCGGUCUAAGGCGCCAGACUCAAGGUAUUACCUUCUCGGUCGAACACCGAGUUUCUGGGCAUUCUGGUCCUCUCUGAGGGCGUGGGUUCGAAUCCCACUUCUGACA